UACAGAGGGUGCGAGCGUUAAUCGGAAUUACUGGGCGUAAAGCGUGCGCAGGCGGUUUUACAAGACAGGUGUGAAAUCCCCGGGCUUAACCUGGGAACUGCACUUGUGACUGUACGACUGGAGUACGGCAGAGGGGGAUGGAAUUCCGCGUGUAGCAGUGAAAUGCGUAGAUAUGCGGAGGAACACCGAUGGCGAAGGCAAUCCCCUGGGCCUGUACUGACGCUCAUGCACGAAAGCGUGGGGAGCAAACAGG
RNAcentral lists this ribosomal RNA (253 nucleotides) under uncultured bacterium. Its description in RNAcentral is "partial 16S ribosomal RNA". It matches the Rfam family "Bacterial small subunit ribosomal RNA", at positions 524 to 776 of the family's 1533-position model. The record is from RNAcentral.